AAAUUAUAUAAUUAUCUGAUCAUAGUCAUUAUCCUCCUAUCCUUACCCCCACCAUCGCACAUUUGCUUUGUUUUCAGCUUCAAUGGAACGACAACAGAAUCACCUACGAAUGUUGCCAGCACUAUUGCUGCCAUUUUCUCCUCCUCUUCUUCAAUACUCAUACCAUCUCUACUAUCGACACCGCCAACGUUCACUUCUUAUCGAUAAGAUUUGUUAAUGUUUGGGACAACGGUUAACAGGCUAUCGAUAGAUGCAUUUGAGGGGCAACUGUUUCAGAAAAUGGAGCUGGAGUCACGACUAGUGACCUGGGUGAGAGAUGUAUAGCCAUGGGUAUGCAAUGUUGGUGGGUUUGGAUGGUACGGGAUCAUGGUCCAAAACUAAGGACUUUGUAGCACAGUGUCGACUGGUGACUCUCAUAGUUGGAGAUCGAUUGGAUUUUUUUUCAUUCCUCUAUCUUCUCUAGUUUUUAUUCAGUUAUAGCGACGCCUGAAUCGUCUCCAUUCAUUGUCAAAUGUUUGUAGAUCCAAUUUUGAAGGUAGCCGGAAUUUAUUGUCUAGAAAUCUAAAGAUUUUGAUUAUGGAUUAUGCUACAUGUAUAAAUUUUUUUUUACAAACUCUCUUACUCAUUACUUACAAUGG
Molecule: long non-coding RNA, 638 nt
Filed under: Olea europaea (common olive)
Lineage: Eukaryota; Viridiplantae; Streptophyta; Magnoliopsida; Lamiales; Oleaceae
Description: long non-coding RNA (OEUR_LNC010574)
Source: RNAcentral